RNA transcript from Manihot esculenta (cassava), 2502 nucleotides. RefSeq lists it as uncharacterized. NCBI's taxonomy places the organism in Eukaryota, Viridiplantae, Streptophyta, Magnoliopsida, Malpighiales, Euphorbiaceae. The record is from RefSeq and is a predicted model, not a curated record. The transcript has 2 exons.
UUUGUUUUUUAGCAUUGUGAAUGCUAUUUUUUGACGCAUCUGCUAUUUCGCUUUGUCCUUUUCAGGCGAAGGGAUCGAAACGACGUAGCAUUUUGACCUCGAAGCCAAAACGGUGCGGUUCAACGGGACGAACCUUACGACGAGCGACCGGUCUGUUUUGGCUUUGAGCUCCAUUCCAGAUUCGACAAUUCUCGGCGGUUUCGAAACAGUACGUGCUGAUUGAAUUGCCACAAUUUGCUCUCCAUGAUUGCAGUUUUUUUUUUUUGUUUCUGUUUGGUUCUUGAGAAAUAAUGAUGAAAAAUCUUUAAAAUAAUAUUUUCAUGCUCCAUUUACAUAUCUUAACGUCUAUGUAUAAAAAGCUUGACCUUUUCCUAGAAAAUCUAAUCGAUUGAUGUGGUUCGUGCUAGCAAAUUCUCUAAAUCUAUAUAAGGAACUUUGCAUUAUCUUUAUGACUUUUUUUUAAAAAAAUUUUAAUGUAGGUUUGUUUUAUUGGUUUAUGUUCAAUGACGGGAGAUGCAAUGAGUACAUAAUUAUGACUUCCUGCGAAUUCUGAUAGCCAGAAUGGUAUGGGCAUAUAUCCUUCCAUUGUUUAUUUUCAGUUGGGCGAUGCAAUUGAAGUAAUGGUUUUAGCUUUAAUUAUAGCCUGUUAAAUGGGGGAGCAAUGGCUUCGCUUUAAUGGAGUGCGAUUAAUUUUUGCCUAAAGGAUUUGUGAAUUUUGCUUUCAGUGGAAAAAUUAGCUUGUAGGCUUUUCAGAGGGUUAAAGGGCAAAGGAUAGAAAUUGGCAUGUAUGGAUCAUUUGGUUAUUAGGAGAAGCAAUAGCGUAGGCGACUUGGAAAUUGGUGAGACUUCUAGUGAGGAUGAUGAGAUUAAAAUGCUGGGUUCAAGUGGUGAAAUCGCCUAUAAGCAUGGCAGAUUAAGGAGUGAAUCUGCUAGUACCAUUGGAAUGAAUUUUAGGAGUGGUGAUGGGUCAAGUUCAAGUGAGGGAACAUUCAGUUCUAGUGAAAACUUGGAGAUAAUUGUAGGUGAGAAAGGGGAAAGCGCAAAAAUUAGUGCAGAGAAUGGAAUGGUGAAGGAGAAAAGGAAAAAGAGGAGUUCUAAACCACCACUGCCUCCUAGAGGGCCGUCGUUGUGCAUGGCAGAUAUGAAAUUGCUUAGAGAAAUGUCUGAGCUUACAAGGUUAAAACGUGCAAGAGUUAAACGAAUCAAGGCAACGAAGAAGAAGAGGGCAGCGAAUGAAUCAUCUUCAAGGAUUAAUAUUUUUCCCAUACUUGUUACCAUUGUCUUCUUCUACGUGAUAAUUUUUCAAGGUAACUUCGUCUUUCUCUCUUCUUAUUGGGUUACUAAGAUGAGACAUUAAGCCUGAAGAAGCUGAAAAUCAAGAUGAAUCUGGUUAUGUGUGCAUUUGCUAUUCUUUUGUGAUCUAUUAAAAUUCCUAUGGAUGUUUGUUAGGACUUCCAGACGUGCGAUGCAAGUCUUAUGAAUAUGCUUAUAUUCAUUUUUCAGGUUUCUUGGGUUCUCGUGCAUGAUGCCUUUAGAAGUGCUCAUCUUUAAAUUGCAGUACACAGUUUUAUGGACAUGAAUUUCAGGAGAUGGCAUCCAUGGAUCAUGGCUCUCCAAGGCAGCAACAAUUGCAAUUCUGUGGGUGGCUCAACAACAACCGCAACAACUAAGCCUUAAUCCCAAUCCAAGUACAGUGCUGGUGCUUUUAAAUAUCUCUAACAAUUUACUUUUGGAGUAAGAUUUUGAUGCUUUUUCAUGAAGUUUAUUAUGUCCUGGAUCUAUGUCCUGGAUCUGUUCCAAUACUCUUCUGGAAGGAGAAUUCCUUAGCGACUAAAUUUUAACUUGGAAUACGUCUCUUUCAGUGCAAUUAGCGCAUCGUGCUUCAUACAAUCUCAAUCAGUUGGGAUGGGAAUUUUGUUGGGUCAUUAGUUGAUUCAGGGAAAAUUUUUCUGAGAGCUUUUAUGCACAUUUUUUUCUGGAUGGUGAUAAAACUGUCUUUGUUGGUCAGUCCACUGUCCAUUUUCUGUGUAUUCCAUCUUCAAUUCUGUUAAAUGGAAACUAAAUUGGUUUUCCUUGUGGAUUUUGAACAUGAAAUGUACGCAACCUCUUUGCCCUCACAAACCGUAACCCAUCAAACGCGUCAACAAAAGGAGCAAUGAAAUAGGCAGGGAAUUCUAGGCUUGGAGCAUCAAUCUUUGAUCUGGUAACUUUGAAGCUGGACAAUUCAUACGUUUGACAUCAUGUCGACCACUUAGAUGGGCCGUAAACUGGACCUAGUGAUGGCUCGACUUACCAGUUUAGCCACAGUCAAAACUCAAAAGGCAACAACGGGGCCGGUUUCGGUUCCAAGGGAACUUAAACUGGGACUGAGGGGACCGAAAGGGAGACCCAUUUUGGCUUGGUUUUGGGUUGAUUGGAGAGUGAAUUUAAUUCAAUUCAAGUUGUAGUAAUGUUAACUGUCAAAGAGCAUUUAGAAAAAGAAAAUAAUGACUUGGUCAUGAA